UGAAAAGGCUCAAAUCUUGACAACAUUUAUCUGGCAGAGCUUAUAUUGGAAAAAUGAGUUCGUCAGGUGGGACCCAGAACAGUGCGGUUCUUCAAGGAUUACACUUCCAAGGAAACUGCUCUGGGUACCUGAUAUAGUGAUCAAUGAGUUUAUGGAGAAGAACUCAGCUCCAUUUGUGCCAUACUGUUAUCUGUAUAGUGAUGGCUCGGUGAGUGAUUACCAGCCUGUAAGAGUGGUCAGCUCCUGCAGCCUCUACAUCUACAUGUUUCCAUUUGACAUCCAGAACUGUACUUUAAGCUUCAACUCCU
Long non-coding RNA from Scatophagus argus, 308 nucleotides. RefSeq lists it as uncharacterized. Lineage: Eukaryota; Metazoa; Chordata; Actinopteri; Scatophagidae. The transcript has 3 exons. The record is from RefSeq and is a predicted model, not a curated record.